Molecule: ribosomal RNA, 880 nt
Filed under: Bacillus subtilis
Lineage: Bacteria; Bacillati; Bacillota; Bacilli; Caryophanales; Bacillaceae
Description: bacterial SSU rRNA
Rfam family: Bacterial small subunit ribosomal RNA
Source: RNAcentral
GAUCAUGGCUCAGGACGAACGCUGGCGGCGUGCCUAAUACAUGCAAGUCGAGCGGACAGAUGGGAGCUUGCUCCCUGAUGUUAGCGGCGGACGGGUGAGUAACACGUGGGUAACCUGCCUGUAAGACUGGGAUAACUCCGGGAAACCGGGGCUAAUACCGGAUGGUUGUUUGAACCGCAUGGUUCAAACAUAAAAGGUGGCUUCGGCUACCACUUACAGAUGGACCCGCGGCGCAUUAGCUAGUUGGUGAGGUAACUGGCUCACCAAGGCAACGAUGCGUAGCCGACCUGAGAGGGUGAUCGGCCACACUGGGACUGAGACACGGCCCAGACUCCUACGGGAGGCAGCAGUAGGGAAUCUUCCGCAAUGGACGAAAGUCUGACGGAGCAACGCCGCGUGAGUGAUGAAGGUUUUCGGAUCGUAAAGCUCUGUUGUUAGGGAAGAACAAGUACCGUUCGAAUAGGGCGGUACCUUGACGGUACCUAACCAGAAAGCCACGGCUAACUACGUGCCAGCAGCCGCGGUAAUACGUAGGUGGCAAGCGUUGUCCGGAAUUAUUGGGCGUAAAGGGCUCGCAGGCGGUUUCUUAAGUCUGAUGUGAAAGCCCCCGGCUCAACCGGGGAGGGUCAUUGGAAACUGGGGAACUUGAGUGCAGAAGAGGAGAGUGGAAUUCCACGUGUAGCGGUGAAAUGCGUAGAGAUGUGGAGGAACACCAGUGGCGAAGGCGACUCUCUGGUCUGUAACUGACGCUGAGGAGCGAAAGCGUGGGGAGCGAACAGGAUUAGAUACCCUGGUAGUCCACGCCGUAAACGAUGAGUGCUAAGUGUUAGGGGGUUUCCGCCCCUUAGUGCUGCAGCUAACGCAUUAAGCACUCCGCCUG